CCGGUUCAUCUAAACAAACAAACAAACAAACAAACAAAACCCCCAAAACAAACAAACAAAAAAACCAAAAUCAGGGAGUGCUCUUAACUGCUGUAUCUUCUGGCUUUUUUUUUUUUUUAAUUUUUAAUUUUUGUAAUGUAAGAAGACAGCAAGCAAAAUAAGUGUGUAGGCAAUUAAAUGAAAAUUGCACUUGGUUUUUCCAAAGUGGAGAAAUCUUGCUAGGACAGCUGUCCACAUCGGGACAGCUGGCAUAUCUACAUCUACGUAUCUUUGAAAUGUCUCUCCAGGUAAGACAAUGUCUACCAACCACCCAAUGGCUGUAUUUUCGCCUGUCUUCCAACUCUCCUUUCUUUUUGGAGCUUGAGUCAGGAAGGAUGUUGUCCGGGGAAUGCCUGCCUUAUCCAACAGUUCAUCCCGGUGGCAGCCUUGCUCCACGACUUAGGUCAGUCAUGCAGGGGAGCUCUGCAGCACUUUCUCCCCUGCCAACUCACUGGAGUUUAAAAAAAAAAAUCCCAAAUUACCUUUUAGGCAUGUGAAAAUAGACAGCACAGCAGAGGUUCGCUGUGCUAAUCUUUGGGGAGUUAAAAACCAAGGCUUCCAUACGUACCUUUGAUGAUUCUGCAAGGUAAAGGUUGAGAGUAAACAGAGGAUGAGGCAACAACAUGAACACACAAAUCAGUGACUUAUUCUGUGUAGUAUAGUAGUUUAAUGUGACAAGACUGGAUGAAUAAAAGCUUACUAUUAACUUUGACUUCA
This 756-nucleotide long non-coding RNA is filed under the name Mus spicilegus (steppe mouse). Its description in RNAcentral is "lncRNA (ENSMSIG00000022161.1)". The record is from RNAcentral. Lineage: Eukaryota; Metazoa; Chordata; Mammalia; Rodentia; Muridae.